CCCUUAGAUGUUCUGGGCGGCCCGCGCACUACAUUGGCACUGGCAACAAGAUCCUAGAUCUGGUAUUUCGGGGUAUUCUACCAACUGGUGUCGUGACUGGGAUUAACCCCUGCAAUUAUUGGUUAUGAACGAGGAAUUCCUUGUAAUCACGGUUUAUCAACCCGUGUUGAAUGCGUCCCUGCCCUUUGUACACACCGCCCGUCGCUCCUACCGAUGACUCGUCCGGUGAAGUUCAUGGAGUCGCGGCUGCUCCAGCUGUUUUCGAAGUGAAAUGGACCUCAUGAUUUAGAGGAAGGAGAAGUCGUAACA
This 309-nucleotide ribosomal RNA is filed under the name uncultured eukaryote. Its description in RNAcentral is "partial 18S ribosomal RNA". It matches the Rfam family "Eukaryotic small subunit ribosomal RNA", at positions 1470 to 1796 of the family's 1831-position model. The record is from RNAcentral.